GCCAUCACCGAAUUGGUACCCCAAACAAAUUGCCCACGGAAGAGCAGCACUUACCCAGCCGACCUCUGCAUCUACUAAAGCAUAUACCUGGCGAUGCGUGUCCACUGUCCUGUCUCCCUGGAUCUCUCUCAGCCGCUGGAGGGAAGGCAGGGUGGCUGGGCCCCCUCUGACAUGGUGUUGGGGAUUGGAGCUCAUUGUCCAGCCUUCCUGUGGACUA
Non-coding RNA from Pelobates cultripes (western spadefoot toad), 217 nucleotides. The record is from the annotation of a GenBank genome assembly. NCBI's taxonomy places the organism in Eukaryota, Metazoa, Chordata, Amphibia, Anura, Pelobatidae.